Rhagoletis zephyria (snowberry fruit fly) is the source of this 945-nucleotide long non-coding RNA. RefSeq lists it as uncharacterized. NCBI's taxonomy places the organism in Eukaryota, Metazoa, Arthropoda, Insecta, Diptera, Tephritidae. The record is from RefSeq and is a predicted model, not a curated record.
AUUAAUUCAAACUAUAAUCGAGUACCUAGCUAUCGAUAUGAUAUCGAGUACCGGUUUUACCGGAAAGGCGCUACGCUACUUUGUGUUGUUCGGCCUACAAAGGUUUGAGAAACUGAUUUUUAACUACAGUAAAUGCGUUAGCACAACCAUAUUCGUUUCCACGGUAGUCGGGUCUACGGAGCGACUCAGGUUUACAUACAUACGUACACACUCUGGCUCAGGACUACAACUCCGACAGAUUCCUCAAAUGUCGCUGGGCAAUUUAUAUGCUACUACAGUAACAACUACAAACACUACCCAUAAUAAAUCCAUAGUUCAAGGAGCACCUAUUACUAUUUAAAUAAAUUUUCAUCUAUUGUUGUUUUUAAGUUACAAGAAAAUUUUUAUUUAAAAACAAGAUUUAGCGGGGGGUAUAGAGUUAGAUAAUCUGCUACCAUCACCACAAUAUACAAAUCUGUUUUCUUCUAAUGCCUCUUCAACGCAAUAUAUAAUCUUUCGGAUAAUCCAAAAUUGCCGGGAAGUUUUCCAGGGUUUCCUUAUCGAUAUGAUCAAGACGUUGAGGCACUUGAUCGUCGGCAAACAAAUGCAAUCUUUGCAUUGUAUGUCUGCGUUGUAAAUUGCCACGCAUUGAAUUGUAAACCGCCUUCUUCAUAACCAUUGUUGGAUCCUUUUCGUGUAACUGCCACGCCAGCGUCCAAGAAGCGCCGCCUGGGUAACCGGUAUGAUGGAAGUAAACACGCUUAAUCCAUUCAUCGCCUGGUAGCGCAAUUUCUUUUGUGUUUAUGCAAACUACAUGAUCUCCGCAAUCAUCUGGAAGUUUAGAAGAAGAAAAUGUGCUAAGCUUGAGUACCAAUAAAGUAAUUGAAGAAAUAGUUGUAUCCUAAAAGUAGAAGGCAUUACUGGUUGCGAACUAAAAGUGGAUAAUAUAUUUUGUAUUUACCAGCA